AUUUGACUUGAGUUGAAAUAGAGCUUUGCUCGUGAACCAAAUCAGGUGGGCCUGGCCGUCUUUGUAGGAAAUGCUUUGGCGGCUUGUCUACGAAUUGUAAUUAUAAUAUGGGCGGGAGUGAAUCCUUUGCAGACGACUUGAAUGGGAACGAGGUACUGUAAGCGGUAGAGUAGCCUUGUUGCUACGAUCCGCUGAGGUUAAGCCUCUGUUCUAAAGAUUUGU
This 222-nucleotide ribosomal RNA is filed under the name Tricholoma bakamatsutake. Its description in RNAcentral is "partial 28S ribosomal RNA". It matches the Rfam family "Eukaryotic large subunit ribosomal RNA", at positions 3175 to 3401 of the family's 3401-position model. Lineage: Eukaryota; Fungi; Basidiomycota; Agaricomycetes; Agaricales; Tricholomataceae. The record is from RNAcentral.